GUGGGGAAUAUUGGGCAAUGGGCGAAAGCCUGACCCAGCAACGCCGCGUGAAGGAAGAAGGUUUUCGGAUCGUAAACUUCUAUCCUUGGUGAAGAUAAUGACGGUAGCCAAGAAGGAAGCCCCGGCUAACUACAUGCCAGCAGCCGCGGUAAUACGUAGGGGGCAAGCGUUGUCCGGAAUGAUUGGGCGUAAAGGGCGCGUAGGCGGCCCGGUAAGUCUGAAGUGAAAGUCCUGCUUUUAAGGUGGGAAUUGCUUUGGAUACUGUCGGGCUUGAGUGCAGGAGAGGUAAGCGGAAUUCCCGGUGUAGCGGUGAAAUGCGUAGAGAUCGGGAGGAACACCAGUGGCGAAGGCGGCUUACUGGACUGUAACUGACGCUGAGGCGCGAAAGUGUGGGGAGCAAACAGGAUUAGAAACCCCAGUAGUCC
RNAcentral lists this ribosomal RNA (425 nucleotides) under uncultured bacterium. Its description in RNAcentral is "partial 16S ribosomal RNA". It matches the Rfam family "Bacterial small subunit ribosomal RNA", at positions 354 to 796 of the family's 1533-position model. The record is from RNAcentral.